UGCGGUGUCGUCUAAUUGGCAGGACAGCAGGUUCUGGCCCUGCAGAUCGAGGUUCGAAUCCUUGCACCGCAGCCA
RNAcentral lists this transfer RNA (75 nucleotides) under Candidatus Latescibacterota bacterium. RNAcentral's name for it is "tRNA-Gln". It matches the Rfam family "tRNA". Rfam says of the family: Transfer RNA (tRNA) molecules are approximately 80 nucleotides in length. Their secondary structure includes four short double-helical elements and three loops (D, anti-codon, and T loops). The record is from RNAcentral. Lineage: Bacteria; Pseudomonadati; Candidatus Latescibacterota.